RNAcentral lists this ribosomal RNA (238 nucleotides) under uncultured bacterium. Its description in RNAcentral is "partial 16S ribosomal RNA". It matches the Rfam family "Bacterial small subunit ribosomal RNA", at positions 116 to 354 of the family's 1533-position model. The record is from RNAcentral.
CGUGAGCAAUCUGCCCAUAUCUGGGGGAUAACAGUUGGAAACGACUGAUAAUACCGCAUAACAUCGUUUGAAGGCAUCUUCGGACGAUCAAAGAUUUAUCGGAUAUGGAUGAGCUCGCGUCUGAUUAGCUUGUUGGUGAGGUAACGGCUCACCAAGGCGACGAUCAGUAGCCGACCUGAGAGGGUGAUCGGCCACAUUGGAACUGAGACACGGUCCAAACUCCUACGGAAGGCAGCAG